Molecule: long non-coding RNA, 877 nt
Filed under: Nicotiana benthamiana
Lineage: Eukaryota; Viridiplantae; Streptophyta; Magnoliopsida; Solanales; Solanaceae
Description: long non-coding RNA (NBEN_LNC004669)
Source: RNAcentral
AUAGUUGAUUCUUUUAUAUAUCUUUCAACUAUAACAUGUAAACGAAGAGUUUCACUUGUUUCAUGUUGGGGAGGAAGAGAAAACUAAAUCUUUUACAGGGUAACCCAAAGCAUCAAGUAUGUAAUGAUAUUGCAUCUCUGUAUCAAAUUUGGUUGUGGGUCCAGUAUAUCACUGGUGUAGCAUUAUGUUUUCCUGUCUUGAUUAGUCUUUUACUCUGAAUACAAGCAAAUUAAGGCUAGCAUUGCUACUUUAAAAUGUAUGUGAAUUCACAUGACUUCUGUUAGUGCCUUUGUAAGUUCAGUAGCAUUGUCAUCGGAAAACGGGAAAAGUGUCAUUUGUUUAAGAAACUGAAUUUCAAUCAUUUUUCUCUAACUUGUUUGGAUUAAAAAUAUCAGGCUGAAGGAUCUAAUGUGUCUCUUUGAUGAAUAAAUUUAGUGUAAUUUCGAUGUUGUAAUGCUUUUAUAAAGUUAAUUAUGCCUCUGGCAAUUGUUUCUUUGCCUUUCAAACUCAUAUUUUCAUGAGCUGCUGCAUGUGCCAAUCAGGUACUAUCAUAACAUUACUUCAAAUACCCUCACUGUCUUAGAAGCUAUGGCAGCUCAUGGAGUCCCCACAUUGAUUUACUCUAGUACAUGUGCGACAUACGGAGAGCCUGAAAGGAUGCCCAUUACUGAAGAAACUCCACAGGUGAGUGUUUUAAAUUGUGUAUAUGCUUCGAGUACACCAGAACGGAGAGCCUGAAAAGAUGCCCAUUACUGAAGAAACUCCACAGGUGAGUGUUUUAAAUUGUGUAUAUGCUUCGAGUACACCAGAACCGUGUGAAUGCCUAUCUGUUACGUCAAUUGGUACGCAAUAGCUGAGUCUUUUUGUCAAAUCGCAG